GAGAGUUAGGUAAAUCCGGCUCUCUUUAAGGCUGAGACACGACGUCGAGCACCUACGGGUGUGAAGUCAUUGAUGCCAUGCUUCCAGGAAAAGCCUCUAAGCUUCAGAUUGUAAGGAAUCGUACCCCAAACCGACACAGGUGGUCGGGUAGAGAAUACCAAGGCGCUUGAGAGAACUCGGGUGAAGGAACUAGGCAAAAUGGUACCGUAACUUCGGGAGAAGGUACGCUCUCGACGGUGAAGUCCCUCGCGGAUGGAGCUAUUGAGAGUCGCAGAUACCAGGUGGCUGCAACUGUUUAUUAAAAACACAGCA
Molecule: ribosomal RNA, 312 nt
Filed under: Vibrio parahaemolyticus
Lineage: Bacteria; Pseudomonadati; Pseudomonadota; Gammaproteobacteria; Vibrionales; Vibrionaceae
Description: partial 23S ribosomal RNA
Rfam family: Bacterial large subunit ribosomal RNA
Source: RNAcentral